CUACGGGGGGCAGCAGUGAGGAAUAUUGCGCAAUGGGGGAAACCCUGACGCAGCGACGCCGCGUGGAUGAUGAAGGCUUUCGGGUCGUAAAAUCCUGUCAGAAGGGAAGAAAUGCUAUAUGCCUAAUAUGUGUAUAGUUUGACGGUACCUUCAAAGGAAGCACCGGCUACCUCCGUGCCAGCAGCCGCGGUAAUACGGAGGGUGCAAGCGUUGUUCGGAAUUACUGGGCGUAAAGCGCGCGUAGGCGGCCUUUUAAGUCAGAUGUGAAAGUCCACGGCUCAACCGUGGAAGUGCAUUUGAUACUGGGAGGCUUGAGUACUGGAGGGGAUGGUGGAAUUCCCGGUGUAGAGGUGAAAUUCGUAGAUAUCGGGAGGAAUACCGGUGGCGAAGGCGACCAUCUGGCCAGAUACUGACGCUGAGGUGCGAAAGCGUGGGGAGCAAACAGGAUUAGAUACCCGCGUAGUC
Molecule: ribosomal RNA, 465 nt
Filed under: uncultured bacterium
Lineage: Bacteria
Description: partial 16S ribosomal RNA
Rfam family: Bacterial small subunit ribosomal RNA
Source: RNAcentral